Molecule: ribosomal RNA, 424 nt
Filed under: Verrucomicrobiota bacterium
Lineage: Bacteria; Pseudomonadati; Verrucomicrobiota
Description: Verrucomicrobia bacterium partial 16S ribosomal RNA
Rfam family: Bacterial small subunit ribosomal RNA
Source: RNAcentral
UGAGGAAUAUUGGUCAAUGGACGCAAGUCUGAACCAGCCAAGUAGCGUGCAGGAUGACGGCCCUAUGGGUUGUAAACUGCUUUUAUAUGGGGAUAAAGUGGGGAACGUGUUCCCUUUUGCAGGUACCAUAUGAAUAAGGACCGGCUAAUUCCGUGCCAGCAGCCGCGGUAAUACGUAGGUGGCAAGCGUUGUCCGGAAUUAUUGGGCGUAAAGCGCGCGCAGGUGGUUUAGAAAGUCUGAUGUGAAAGCCCACGGCUCAACCGUGGAGGGUCAUUGGAAACUAAUAAACUUGAGUGCAGGAGAGAAAAGUGGAAUUCCUAGUGUAGCGGUGAAAUGCGUAGAGAUUAGGAGGAACACCGGUGGCGAAAGCGGCUUUUUGGCCUGCAACUGACACUGAGGCGCGAAAGCGUGGGGAGCAAACAGG